This is a long non-coding RNA of Trifolium pratense (red clover), 1505 nucleotides long. RefSeq lists it as uncharacterized. Lineage: Eukaryota; Viridiplantae; Streptophyta; Magnoliopsida; Fabales; Fabaceae. The record is from RefSeq and is a predicted model, not a curated record. The transcript has 11 exons.
ACUCCGGUGGAUUUAUUCAAGCCUUUGUGCUCCCUGAAGUGCAGAACCACAUUUAAGAAUUGAAAGAGAAAGAUUUGAGGCUGAAAGGUUGGUGAUCUGGUGUUGUUGGUCACUUGGAAUCAAAUGAAAAUUCUAGCCGCUGGCAUAGUAGUGGAGACAUUCCUACUGAUAGGUAAAGUCCUACAUGCUCAUCUACUCAAGCUCCUCUUCUGACAAAGACUUCAUUUCCUUUCAGAGAGGAUUCUCUCCCUUGGUUAUGAAGUAAUUUCAAAUGUGCUGGAGACUGGUCCGACAGGGUUAGUUUCUCCACAUUUUACAGCUCUAUUGGAAUCUGCAAUCUUCCCAGCAUUGGUCAUAAAUGUAAAGGACAUGUCAGAAUGGGAAGAAGAUGCUGAUACAGUAUAUACGGAAGAAUCUUCCUUCAGAUAUAGACGAAGUUAGUGGAUGAAGGGGGGAUUUAUUCACUGCCAGAAAAAGUGCAGUAAACUUACUUGGUGUUACUUCAAUGUCAAAGGGGCCACGCCAAUGGAGACUUCCAUUGUCAGUUUAUCAGCCAAGCGGAAAAAAAUGUCAAAAGAACAAAAGAAGCAAUCAGUGCCAUUCUAAGGGAGAGUUAUAGAUUUGUGUUAUUUGUAAGCAAAUCGAUGGUUCAUGCACACAAUGUGUCAAGUGUUCCACAUGUCUCCAUGCCAUGUGUGCGUGAAGGACUGAUUAUCGCAUAGAGAGGUGAGACUUCAUUUAGAUUGAAUUGGUUUCCAUUUGCAUAAGUUUUGUUGAUAUUUUAUAAUAUGUAUUGUCCUGGUUUAGUGCCACUUUUAAUUAAUGUUGUCUCUUCUGGAACUUGGGCAAUGAUUCCCACUCCUGGAACGCCUCAACAAGUACAAUCAGGCAUGCAGCCGCUUGUGAAUAAUGCAGCUGCUGCUAAUGUGCCUUUGUCCCACUCCUGGAACGCCUCAACAAGUACAAUCAGGCAUGCAGCCGCUUGUGAAUAAUGCAGCGCCUGUGCAACCUUGGUACCCAUUGUUAAAAGGAAAGUUGCCUUUAUUCAUUCACGCCUCUUACUUGUUUUAUUGGUUUUCCAUGUUUCGAUGUGUAACUAUGAUUAUAAUGAAUGUGAGGUCUUUUGUUUUUAUGUUCUGCUACUUUAUGUUGUUAAUGAAUUCCUUCUAAUUGCAGACAAAUACAAGUGUUGCAUCUUCUUUAGGGACAUUUUUCCUGCCCCAGAUCUCAAUGAUCUUCUUGGACAUGUUGAAUGUAUACAGAGUGUACAGGGAGCAUAUUUGAAACACAAAUAUGUAUAGUAAGAUUAUAGUGGUUUUUAACAAAUAUUUACUAUUCAGUCCCUUCAUACAAAUUCUUCUGGAAUUAUGCAGGGGAGAUGUCAAAUAGCUGUCUAUUAAGAAUGUUAUGGUGCAAGAAAUGUUCCAAGACUUUACAAUCAUGCGUUUAUAAAGCUUGUGAAACACCAGUCAUCACGCGAGAGUGUUGUCAUUGCUCUGUAAAAG